AGUAAAAUAGUUUUAAAUUAAAACGUAGCACUGAAAAUGCUAAAAUGGCUGAAGCCUUUACCCA
This 64-nucleotide transfer RNA is filed under the name Pseudunio marocanus. Its description in RNAcentral is "tRNA-Phe". The record is from RNAcentral. Lineage: Eukaryota; Metazoa; Mollusca; Bivalvia; Unionida; Margaritiferidae.